This 388-nucleotide long non-coding RNA is filed under the name Salvia miltiorrhiza (redroot sage). RNAcentral's name for it is "long non-coding RNA (SMIL_LNC011620)". Lineage: Eukaryota; Viridiplantae; Streptophyta; Magnoliopsida; Lamiales; Lamiaceae. The record is from RNAcentral.
UAAGAUUAAGUUUCCGGCGAAGUAAACGACAUAGUUUAAGCUAAACCCUAAACGGCGUAGUUUUAUGUCUAUUUAGGGAAUUAAAUGCAAUCCAAUCGAAAAAUUGAGGGCAAAAUCAAAUUAGGGUUCUUGAGAAAAACAUACCAAAUCCAUGUCUUCGUCUUCAUCAUCCCGUCGGAACUUCGCCUCCGCCACCGUCAUCUGUUACCAUUGCUCUCUCCGACCUCAAAUCUCUUCUCCACCCCUCUGCCACCGCCCUCUGAUCCCUCCCAACACCAAUCCAUGCAGAAACCUCCACCGCCGCUGCUACCUUCGUCCCCUGCCCUUUCAACACUAACCACUGAGUGCGCCGAUUUCAAUGAAGAACCUUGGCCGGAAGCUGUCGCGC